This is an RNA transcript of Hyaena hyaena (striped hyena), 934 nucleotides long. It is a transcript of the gene named chromosome unknown C12orf54 homolog, with no coding region annotated. The transcript has 9 exons. Lineage: Eukaryota; Metazoa; Chordata; Mammalia; Carnivora; Hyaenidae. The record is from RefSeq and is a predicted model, not a curated record.
AUACAAUGGUGGAAGGCAAUGAAGCAGCAAAAAAAUCCUAGAAAUUAAAACUCAAAUUUUAAAGUAUUUUCUCAUUCUUUCAUCAUUAUCAUUUGGACUGAAUAGAAUCUGGGCUAAGGGUGGGAAGGGAGAGACAAUUGUCUCAGAUCUAUGAUGUCACAGCUGAAGUCACAGAGAGUUGAAAAGGGCAGGGUAGAUGGGGAGCAGAUGAGACGGGGUUGUUGUGAAAUGAGGCUCAAAGAGAAGAAGUUCUAGGGGGAAAUGAGUCAGGCAAAGUAUAAUGUGGGCAGCCAAACUGGGACCUAGAGCUGUCUCCAUCUUCAGCUCCAGAGUCUCUGGUUUCUGUUCAAGAACAAACGGCACAGCAUACUUUCCAAGAGCAGGAACAAAGGAUCUCCAUGCAGCAGAAUAGUUUUUCCAUUGCUGGUUCCGGGAGUGAAAGACCUUCACCAAUAGCCCAGGAAUCCACUGAUGACACCAUGCAACCAAAGGUGCUAAUGGCUUUUAGGGAUAUACAAAAGGAGCUGCAGGAAGAUGCUCGGAUUCGAGGGAUGAGCAACUGCUCCAUGAAACCCAGGUCAUCUGCAUCUGGAACUAGGCCUCCAGAUUAUGGGAUGACCCUAAAUUUGGGAAGCCCUGGAGAACAGUCAUCAAGGGCCCAGGCCCACAACCUAAAAAGAUAGUUCUCUGAUUAAUCACCUUGCUACCCUGGACGCUACCCCUACAAUCAAGAGAAGAAGGCCUGUCUGCUUCUGCCAGGUGUCUCACCCACAUGGCCUUUCUCCUGAGCUCCACCCUGCCCAUCCUUCUAUAGACAAGAAACCAGGCCUCAUGCAUCCUCACUCUAACAUGAGAGAGCAGCACCAAACCAAGCAGCUUAGGUUGCCUGAAAAAAGAAGUUAUUCGGCAGACAUCACCUCUGACCCAGAAGAGC